UCCUUUAUCAACUACAGCUAUUGUAAAUAUGCUGUACUACUCUGUGGCUUGCUUUAUCACUCUCUUGAUAGUGUCUUUUAUGAAUAGAAGUUCCUAAUUUUAACAUUCAAUUUAACUACCUUUUUCUUUAUUAUUCUUAGUGCUUCGAUUUUGUUUUAGUAAUCUUUGCCUACUCCAAAAAGGGAGCUUUUCUAUAUUCACAUUUAGUGCUUGCCUCGGCAGCACAUAUACUAAAAUUCUAAAUUCA
Molecule: long non-coding RNA, 247 nt
Filed under: Homo sapiens (human)
Lineage: Eukaryota; Metazoa; Chordata; Mammalia; Primates; Hominidae
Description: non-protein coding lnc-MRO-1:1
Source: RNAcentral